RNAcentral lists this transfer RNA (77 nucleotides) under Escherichia coli. RNAcentral's name for it is "tRNA-Ile". The stretch from base 3 to 70 matches the Rfam family "tRNA". Rfam says of the family: Transfer RNA (tRNA) molecules are approximately 80 nucleotides in length. Their secondary structure includes four short double-helical elements and three loops (D, anti-codon, and T loops). The record is from RNAcentral. Lineage: Bacteria; Pseudomonadati; Pseudomonadota; Gammaproteobacteria; Enterobacterales; Enterobacteriaceae.
GGCCCUUUAGCUCAGUGGUUAGAGCAGGCGACUCAUAAUCGCUUGGUCGUUGGUUCAAACCCAACAGGGGGGCACCA